Molecule: RNA transcript, 1999 nt
Organism: Scylla paramamosain (green mud crab)
Lineage: Eukaryota; Metazoa; Arthropoda; Malacostraca; Decapoda; Portunidae
Gene name: ribosome biogenesis protein WDR12 homolog
Exons: 3
Source: RefSeq, a predicted model, not a curated record
GCGGUGCUGCUUGGUAGAAGAAGGGAGGAGGGUGAGCAGACGUCAUACAAGGAGGGACGGUGAAAGGAAGGCUCACAUGUGCCGCUGCCUUAUUUAACCUGGAUUUUCGCUGAACAGGACAGUGACAUGGGCCAUGACUACCACUGUGUGCUGGUGCAGGCUUGCUGCUUGGCGGGAAGUGCCUGUGAGGGCCAGCAGCUUGUCAGGAGGGCCAGGGAGACUCAGAAUAUUGGUUGGGACCCCUCAAGAGACCUGCCCAAGUGUUAGUUUGUGAUGGAGGGGCAGCUGCUGAUGGGCAAGCUUGGGGAUCUACUGGAGGAGCAGGAAGAACCUGGAGGGAAUGGUGGAAGUGAAGUACUUGAAGAAGCUCCCUACACUCACCCCCAAGGAUUCCUUCCACCUUGACGACUGGUUUUCUGCUGUACAGACUACAGACCACUGAACAAUAUUUCACCCUAACCCAGUCUCCUCUCACCCUACGUCCCCUGCACAGGCCGCUGACAGGGUGUGACAUCAAUAUCCAACACCUGUGGUAUGUGCAGGAGCUGGCAGAGGGGCAGGGUGACAGGGCCCACUGCCUCACCAUCCCUGCCCACCAUGCCCCUGACAAGUUCGUCACCUGGGUACAUGCUCAGGCACCCCUGCAGUUAUUCUCUAGGUGAUCUAUGUUUUCUGUUGAUAUACAUUGUGAAGCUUUCUACUUGCAAAUAAGAAAAAAAUGUUUCUCAGGUUAUGUAAUGUAUUAUAGCUUUUUUCAAGUUCACAGAAGAUUGUUACUUAAGUUCUUAUAAUGUUCUCAUUAAUAAUGCAUUAAUAAUGCAUUAUUAAAAGAUGAGUUAGAUCAAGAAAACAGCCUUGAAAACUAUUAUUUUAUUAAAGAGCCUGUUAAAAAUAGUUGACAUAGGAUGAUGAAAAGUUUGGGAACACAUGCUUGGAUAGUGAGAGUAAGAGCAUGAGCAGAGCAGAGCACUGAGAGGCGAGAGAGGUGCUUCCAACCCUCAGCUGCUCUCCUCCCUAUCACUGCACUGGUGAUUGAGUGACUGGGGAAUGGAAGUAGCUAGAUGCUGCAUGGCCAGAGAACACUAGCCUCGUGAGGUGUGGCAAUAUAUUAGUGUGAUGAUGGUGUGUGUGAUGAGAGGCUAGUGUUCAGUAAAUAGGUGUAAAUAGAUAGGCUUCAUUCAUGUACUGCCACUACUUCUUGCAACUUCCUUUAUGUUCUUAUGUGUGUGUGACAAGAGGCUGGGAUGCAUUCUAAAUGUUUCAGUGUCUAAAACUCUGAUAUUGUGGGUUAGGCUGCAAUGGAAGGGAAAGAUCCAUGAUACCGUGACUAAUUAUCUCUACUGCCUAUGAAAGUGUGGAGAGAGGAAAGUGGUUUGAUUUGCAGGCCUUGUGUGAUAUGGUUGAUGAGAGGCUGUGACUUUGUGGUGAAUAUGGAAGUAGUAAUGAUAUAGCUAUGAGAGAGAGAGAGAGAGAGAGAGAGUGUGUGUGUGUGUGUGUGUGUGUGUGUGUGUGCGCAUGUGUAAAGACAAUUUGUUCCUCCUUUGGUUGGCUUGUUCAUUACUUGUACUCACCAAUUGAAUCCUGGUUCAUCAUUGCAUUUCCUUUCUUUCACAAUUGUAUACAGUAAUGCAAUAAUGUCUAGUCCAUUCUGCCAUGUGUGUUGCAUGUGCAGACAUUGGUUGCAUUGGUAGAGGGUUCUGGAGUGAUAGAGAGUGAUGAGGGAACAAGUGGUGAGUGAUUGCUUAUGCUCUUCUUCCAUUUUGUAAAGUCGGGGGGUGAUGGUGGUUGUAGCUGGCAGUGUCCCUGUGUACUUGGGUGUGUCUGGGUGUGGGUGACUCGGGUAAAAUUUUGUAUUUUUCACGUAAUUCAUCAAAGUUUGCGUUGCAUAUUGAGUCUUUAGUGUGUAUAAUCCUUGCAUUACUUAAUUUUGAUGUCCUCGACUUGUUUAACCUUUUUAGGUGUGGUAGCCAUACAUUUGGAUUUAAUGAGUACUCUUUUA